UGGAGAGGUGCCAUCGGUCCCCCUCGGCGCCAAAAUCCCUUGGAACGGGGUAUCGGAGAAGGUGAGAAUCCUGUCAAGCGCCGGAGUGGGACCGUACGAUGUGCUCUCGUAGAGUCGGGCUGCUUGGGAGUGCAGCCUGAAGCGGGUGGUAAAUUCCAUCUAAAGCUAAAUACUGGCGGGAGACCGAUAGCGAACAAGUACCGUGAGGGAAAGAUGCAAAGAACUUUGAAAAGAGAGUUAAAGAGUGCUUGAAAUUGGCAGGAGGAAACCCGGUUGCGCGUGGCAUUUGGCGUGGUCGACUCAGCCGCGCGCGAGAUCUGUAGGGGACCUAACGGCCUCGUGGUCAGCGCGCGCGGUGCACUUCGGCCGCGUCGGUCAGCCGCGUUUCUGCGCGGCCCAGACGGCCGUGGGCAGGGCUUCGGCGCCGCCUGCGGUUUGGGGGUCGCGCGGGAUCCCGGCUGAUGCGCACGGGCGCAACCGACCCGUCUAGAAACACGGACCAAGGAGUCUGACGCGUGUGC
This 521-nucleotide ribosomal RNA is filed under the name Phaeocystis globosa. RNAcentral's name for it is "partial large subunit ribosomal RNA". It matches the Rfam family "Eukaryotic large subunit ribosomal RNA", at positions 151 to 687 of the family's 3401-position model. The record is from RNAcentral. Lineage: Eukaryota; Haptophyta; Phaeocystales; Phaeocystaceae.